GCGUAGCAGUAAGUGUCCUGUCGUAUCGUCUCUCUGUAAAUAUCGUCUCUUUUUCGUUUUAGAUAUUUUUAGAUAUUUUUUCUUCGCAUAUCUUUAAAAACAUUUUGCUAAACCUAAGCUUCCAAAUACUCUUCUGCAACCCGCCAAUGUAGCUACCUUUCCUAAAGUAGUUAUAUUUACAUCGGAACCGGACCCCCUCAACUGAAGCUAGCCAGCUAACUACCAGCUAUGCUAGCGGUCUUCAGCUAACUGGUCAUCAACUAACCUUUAGCUCGGAAAGCUCUCGCCAGUUCGAACAGCGCGACGCUAACCAGAGCAUAACGGACCUAUUUAAUUUAGUUAUUUUUUUACCCCCGGAAUCCCACCACAAACGGAACAUUCUUCAGCUGGAUCUUCGCAACUAGCUAUCGAGCUAAACAGCAACCCUGGUUGUUUACUCCUGGCUAGCGUUUCCACCCACGUAGCUUGAAGCUAGCCCGGCCAGAGCUCCGGCCAGAUACUCCUGGGCUACAAUACCUUGACUACGACCGGUCUAUCGAUAUCACUGCAUGAAGAGGAAUAAACAGACUCACCCCAUCGCGACGUCCUCCAAAGGCUAACUCUCUAGCCCUCGCUAUCUCCUUGCUUGCUAGUUCGGCAUGCUAACUGCUAGCUUGUUUAGCCCAGGUCCGCUAACUACUACCUUGUUUACCCCGGCCUGCUAAUCUGUUAGCACAGGCCUGCGAACCGUCUUGCAUCGCCGCGUCCCUAAAACGCAGUGGCCCAUAUGUACUCUCUCUUCCCGUUUAAAAAAAUAAAUAGUUUAUACCUUCCGGAAACCUGCCUCACCCAAUGUGAUACGGAAUCGCUAUUAUCUUUAUUUUUAGAACACACUCAAGAACCUCCAGAAGCUAACCAGCUAGCUAGCUACAAGCUAUUUAGUCAUUGUUAGUUUUCUUAACCUGGAUAACACUCGCCAGCCCAGCCCCCCUGCCCCAUCCACCGCUGCCCCCUGGACUCUGAUCACUUGGCUACAUAGCUGAUGCACGCUGGACUGUCCAUUAAUCACGUUCCACUCAGUCCCGUUGUUUUCCUGCAGUCCAACCGCAGCACAGACAACCUCUUCAUACCCAGCAGUAAGGUGCUACCGGGAGAGGCACAACACGGGGACUCCGGGAGGGAGGAAGGGCUAGCGUUGUCCUGGUAACCAUAAAGAGGGGACACAGACACAUAUCAUUAUGGAUGCUGAUGUCACUGUUGUCAUAAAGUGCCUUACAGAAACCCAGACCCAGAUAGAGCAAGCUGUAUGCUAGACCAGACCAAGCUGUACCAUCUGGUGUUCUGAUCUGGAGAGACUCUUCUCUGUCUCGUCAGCAUCAGGAUGUUGUUGAGGCCCCCCAAUGGAUCCACGAUAGUCAUGUCUCUCUCCUGUUUGAACGAGAACAUCAAACAGAUGGUGAACUUAUUACCAUCAUCAAUUAUUACUGUCUAUUACAGUCAUAUAGUCUUAUCAGAGGCAUUAAUAUCUCUAAAUUAAUUGGGUGCCUUUUGUGUCCCUUUGAUAUUUUAAGUAUAAAUGAUGCUCCAUUAUUACAUUUUGAAAGCCUGUUAUAUAUAAUUAAAUCUCAUUUAAAAGUCCCAAGAAUAUAUGUAGCAAUGGCAGAUUGACCCUUUAACAAUUUAUAUAGUACUGAACAUCAUAUUGAAGUGAAGAACUUCAGUAGAAUGCCCCUUAAAAACCACACAUUAAUUCAACAACUGCAUAGUUUGUGCCCCUGUUUUUAAGACAGUACUCACUGGUGUUAAUCUGAUAUUCUGUCUCCUCCCCUUUCACUCCCAAAACGUCUUCCUCCUUCACUGAGAUAGAACCUUUUAGAGAGGAAGAGGAUGUUUUCUCUUCUUUCCCUAUAACAGCCUCCUCUUCCUCCUUUUUCAUUCUGAAAGGUUCUUUCUCUCCUUUCACUGUAAUAUCCUCCUCUUCGUCUUUCACGACAAUGUUCAGCGCCAGAGCUUCUUUCUCUCCUUUCACUGUAAUAUCCUCCUCUUCGUCUUUCACGACAAUGUUCAGCGCCAGAGCGUCUUUCUCCGGACAGCAGACAUCCACUUCUUUAGCAGGGGAUGAGUAGUUUAAUGAGCUCAUGGUCAGGGAUGUUAGCUAGCUAGUUAGCAUUAGCGAAUAGCCUAGUGCUAGGCUCAGUAUCAAUCUUUAACAAAUUUGCAAAUUGAACAAGCAAAUUAGGUUCAAGUUAACGUCAACUGAAAUGUGUUUUAAACACUGCGAUUAGCUAAUGCACAUUAACAUGGCCUAAAAAUCUUUCAGUUUUUAUGUUGUCUAGCAAGCUAUCGGGGUGGUUGAAAGAGUAUCCGUGUUGUUGUUCCUGAAGAAGCGUCCGUCCAGUCCAUUAUACGUCACACAAGAAGCAUCACCUGAAAGACGCUCAUCGCCAUCUGCUGGCUGGAGUGGGUAACGCAGUUUGGAAACAAUAGUUACGACACUUUUUGUAUUGGAAAGAACGUCAUAAUUAUUUAACAAUAAGCUGAUAUAUUUUCUCUUACGUCUUACAACUAAUACUUUCCUGUACACAGACGUAGAAGCGUAAUAUGAAUAUGUAGAUGAUGAAUAAAUACUUCCAUGAAUAGGAAGUGUGUUUAUACUUA
Oncorhynchus nerka (sockeye salmon) is the source of this 2637-nucleotide long non-coding RNA. RefSeq lists it as uncharacterized. The record is from RefSeq and is a predicted model, not a curated record. The transcript has 2 exons. Lineage: Eukaryota; Metazoa; Chordata; Actinopteri; Salmoniformes; Salmonidae.